Long non-coding RNA from Oreochromis aureus, 933 nucleotides. Lineage: Eukaryota; Metazoa; Chordata; Actinopteri; Cichliformes; Cichlidae. The record is from Ensembl.
UCAAAAACUUGGAGUUUGUCCCUUGGAGGGUUAAUUCAAAUUUUGUCUAAAUUAUGUAGGUUGUGCAAUUUAAGGCCUUGUAAAUAUUAUUUAAUUUAUCAGACGUCUCUGUGUUAUAAUUUCUAUGUUUGUAUAUAGGCUCUGUCUGCCACGGGCACUGCAGCAGGCUGGUUAUUUUGAGAGUGUGUCUGUGUUUAUGUAAAUGAGAUGCUUGUGACUUAUUUAGAGUGACAUUUCCUGUUUACUAAUGAGUGGCUAAUGACUGACUGCAGAGCCAGGGUUAAGGACGACUUCAAUCUGUGUUUUAAGGGAAGAAAUGCAGUUUAUGUUUAUUAUAUUUGUGUGACUGUUGUUGAUUAUGAUAAGUAUUUCAUGAUAACUGUAGAAUAUGAGUAUGGGGUUUGCUUGACACGUGUCUGUACUAGGUAAAACUGUGUAAGACUGAUAGGAAGUUUACAGGGACUGCUACACAUGGCUGAUGCCUGUAUUUAAGACGCUGGAGUUGUUUAUUACAAUAUUUGUGUCAAUACAGGUGGGCGUCUUUCAACUUUGCAACCUUGAGUUCAGCAGCAGAAAAGUAGAUUAAAAGAAUUGGGAGAAUAAGCCAGUUUUUGGCUCGAAAUUGUGCGGCUGGAUCUCUCACUUUGUCCCUGAAGCGGAGAAGAAGUUCAAAGGACAGUUAAUCGCCUGAUGAAGACAGAUAGAACAUCGUGGACUUGAAUACAGCAGGCAAACGACAGUGCCACUGAUCCAGUAACACUGAUGACGACUGACGACCAGCAGCAGCAUUGAAUGUGGGAUGUAAGGUGACUGACCAAGCAAUGAACCACAGGAUACAUGGCAGCAAGCCUACUGGCAGAGGACCAAGAAGCAUCUGCUACAUACAGUAAGAGACACAACAAUUAUUUUGUCCCCUGUGUACGUGGCUCUACA